AACGAGCGCAACCCUUGUCCUUAGUUACCAGCACGGUUAUGGUGGGCACUCUAAGGAGACUGCCGGUGACAAACCGGAGGGAAGGUGGGGAUGACGUCAAGUCAUCAUGGCCCUUACGGCCUGGGCUACACACGUGCUACAAUGGUCGGUACAAAGGGUUGCCAAGCCGCGAGGUGGAGCUAAUCCCAUAAAACCGAUCGUAGUCCGGAUCGCAGUCUGCAACUCGACUGCGUGAAGUCGGAAUCGCUAGUAAUCGUGAAUCAGAAUGUCACGGUGAAUACGUUCCCGGGCCUU
This 294-nucleotide ribosomal RNA is filed under the name uncultured Pseudomonas sp. RNAcentral's name for it is "partial 16S ribosomal RNA". It matches the Rfam family "Bacterial small subunit ribosomal RNA", at positions 1091 to 1382 of the family's 1533-position model. Lineage: Bacteria; Pseudomonadati; Pseudomonadota; Gammaproteobacteria; Pseudomonadales; Pseudomonadaceae. The record is from RNAcentral.